GGGGAUGAUCGGCCUAGACAGGAGACAGUUACUUAUUUGUGCAACGUGGAGCAGCGUUAACUCCUAAAUCUGACGCAAACCCUAAGUGCUAAAAACACUGGAAAAAGUAUCGCUUCACCUUACGUGAGCAAUACUCUCGCAUUCGCGUAAGUUUUUAAACUUCGUCAAUGCGACAUCAAUCACGCUUCUGGUAGACAGGCGUGGACCUGAUGUUAUACCGUCUACAUGCUCUAUCCUCCCUUUCCAUAGGAUAGUUAAGAUAAGGAAAUCGGUUGUGCGGGGAUUUUGUUUGUCUCUCACCCACACAACUUAAACUUGGCUUCGGCCAGGGAAGACAUCCUACACGUUGUAGACUCAUCUAAGUCCUUCUCUUGCACGGCGGUUCGAUUCCGCCCAUCUCCACAC
RNAcentral lists this transfer-messenger RNA (405 nucleotides) under bacterium. It matches the Rfam family "transfer-messenger RNA". Rfam says of the family: Bacterial tmRNA, also known as 10Sa RNA or SsrA, is named for its dual tRNA and mRNA-like properties. The record is from RNAcentral.